This 223-nucleotide ribosomal RNA is filed under the name uncultured fungus. RNAcentral's name for it is "partial small subunit ribosomal RNA". The stretch from base 100 to 223 matches the Rfam family "Eukaryotic small subunit ribosomal RNA", at positions 739 to 864 of the family's 1831-position model. The record is from RNAcentral. Lineage: Eukaryota; Fungi.
GGCUUGAAACAUCUUGCCGGCCACGGUUUCGUGUGUUAGUGCUUGAUGUUCUGGCCAUCCUUCCAAUUGCUGUGCGUUUUUCUUCAUUGAUUAGCGCAUGGUAUUGGAUCUUUUACUUUGAAAAAAUUAGAGUGUUUCAAGCAGGCGAUUGCUAUGAAUACAUUAGCAUGGAAUAAUAAUUUAGGACUUCGGUUCUAUUUUGUUGGUUUCUAGGACUGAAGUA